RNAcentral lists this ribosomal RNA (445 nucleotides) under uncultured bacterium. Its description in RNAcentral is "partial 16S ribosomal RNA". It matches the Rfam family "Bacterial small subunit ribosomal RNA", at positions 354 to 796 of the family's 1533-position model. The record is from RNAcentral.
GUGAGGAAUAUUGGUCAAUGGGCGGGAGCCUGAACCAGCCAAGUCGCGUGAAGGAAGAAGGAUCUAUGGUUCGUAAACUUCUUUUGCAGGGGAAUAAAGUGCGGGACGUGUCUUGUUUUGUAUGUACCCUGAGAAUAAGGAUCGGCUAACUCCGUGCCAGCAGCCGCGGUAAUACGGAGGAUCCGAGCGUUAUCCGGAUUUAUUGGGUUUAAAGGGUGCGUAGGUGGUUUGAUAAGUCAGCGGUGAAAGUUUGCAGCUUAACUGUAAAAAUGCCGUUGAAACUGUCGGACUUGAGUGUAAAUGAGGUAGGCGGAAUGCGUGGUGUAGCGGUGAAAUGCAUAGAUAUCACGCAGAACUCCGAUUGCGAAGGCAGCUUACUAAGCUACAACUGACACUGAAGCACGAAAGCGUGGGGAUCAAACAGGAUUAGAAACCCUUGUAGUCC